This 29-nucleotide long non-coding RNA is filed under the name Vicia faba (fava bean). The record is from RNAcentral. Lineage: Eukaryota; Viridiplantae; Streptophyta; Magnoliopsida; Fabales; Fabaceae.
UUUCUUCACGGAAAUUCAUUCUAUCUUGA